AAAGAAUAACGAGCCUAUCUAAAUCCCAGUAACGAGUAACGCGUUCCUGAUUUUGUCAUAAUAACUAGUUACCGUGCUCGUUACCACAAUAAUAACGUAGUUACUGUAACAUGUUACCUAAUAACGAGUUAGUCCCAAUGCUGGUCAUGUGAUACAUUUAUAUUGCCCAUGUCAUUCAUUCCUAUUUGGGCUGUAUUUACUGAUAUAUGUAAUUUCUUAAUGCUCUGCUUGUUUUAUCAGGGGAGAAGAAUGAUGUGGAUGAGGCCUUGGUCAACAUGGUGAUAGAGGAUUCCCAGCCCUUCACUGUUGUGGAGGACAGUGGGUUUAGAAAGUGUGUUAAAGCUUUGAACACUAACUAUGUUUUCCCCACAAGGCAGGAUUUGAAAGCUAUGGUGGUCCAAAGAUACAAAGAGUCCAAACAAACAGAAAAACUGACUGUGGCAAAGACUUCUGCAGUUAGUUUGACAUCUGAUAUGUGGACCUCCAUUAACACAGAGGCUUACCUUGCUGUCACCUGCCAUUUCAUCGAUUCUAACACUGCAUUGCAUUCUGUAGUGCUCGGAGCCUCAUCUUUAGCAGCUUCUUCAUCAGAAGCUUUUCAGCCUGUGA
Molecule: long non-coding RNA, 609 nt
Organism: Oreochromis niloticus (Nile tilapia)
Lineage: Eukaryota; Metazoa; Chordata; Actinopteri; Cichliformes; Cichlidae
Exons: 2
Source: RefSeq, a predicted model, not a curated record